GGUACAUGUCGGAUAUUUUUGGAGGAUCCGACAUGCACCCUGCAACAUUUUCGGAGAGUCUGAGCAACAUAGUUUUUAUUAAACAACUGUUAUAUCUCGUUAUCAAGUUUCUAGACAAUUACAGCAAUCUAUAAGAAGUUUGCUUACGGGUGUGACAUCAUUUUGGAGAGUCCGCACAACAUAGAAUAAAAAUGAACAAGAUCUACUGACCCAUAAGGUGAUGUCUCCACAGCUAUGCCACCAUUUUCAGCUGAUGAAGUAGGACUUUCAGCACUCAUCUUUAACUAGAUACCACCUUCCUCCUUUCUUUUGCUUUGCUAUGAUUUUUAUGCAAUCUGAUGUUGAUGCCAAUUAGAAGCUUGUACACAACUUGGCUUAUGUUUCUAGUUCUUUUCAAGGACAUAAGCCCGUAUAGAUCCUACACGCAUGGGCAUACCAAAAGCUUUAGUUUUUCGGUUGGAGCUGGACUGUGCAAAAGACUUUGUGGUGGAAUAAUACCUACAUAUAGUGUUUUGUCAAAUUGGUCAUGCUACUGCAAAAGCUCAAACUGCCUCAGAUGAUGUGAUUUGUUCGCAAAUUUUGUUCUUUCUUUAGUGAUUUUCUGGUUUGUCUCCCAGAAGCAGGAAGAUUUUUUAUGCUUCAUGGUGGUCGUUUAUCGUAGUUUUGGAUCGUUAUCAUAUCUGCUUAGGAUAGUUGCUUACUAUUUGCAAAAUCCUUAAUUUUUCAUGCCGAAGGUUCAGCUCUUUCAUCAAGUUUUAGUUGAAAAACUGAAGCUUUUUGGAGAGAGCAGUUAUGAUUUUUCAAGUUAAUUUAAUCAGUAGUUAUAGCUUCUAUCCCCUCUCCUCUGGUAAAAAAUGUGCAACUUCAAAUCAAUUCGAACAGUAUUUUCG
Molecule: long non-coding RNA, 890 nt
Filed under: Nicotiana benthamiana
Lineage: Eukaryota; Viridiplantae; Streptophyta; Magnoliopsida; Solanales; Solanaceae
Description: long non-coding RNA (NBEN_LNC011866)
Source: RNAcentral